Molecule: transfer RNA, 77 nt
Filed under: Acetobacter sp.
Lineage: Bacteria; Pseudomonadati; Pseudomonadota; Alphaproteobacteria; Acetobacterales; Acetobacteraceae
Also listed under: 1 other name
Description: tRNA-Pro
Rfam family: tRNA
About the family: Transfer RNA (tRNA) molecules are approximately 80 nucleotides in length.
Source: RNAcentral
CGGAGCGUGGCGCAGUCUGGUAGCGCACUUGUAUGGGGUGCAAGGGGUCCCGAGUUCGAAUCUCGGCGCUCCGACCA